ACAGAGGGAAAUUGCCACUGGUCUGUUCUGUAGCCAUUGGUAAGAUCAAUGUGCCUAUACAAACAUUGGGGUAUCAAAGCUUAUUACCCAUAACCUUGUGUGUGUGUGUAAUGAGACCCGUACCCCAACACUC
Molecule: small nucleolar RNA, 133 nt
Organism: Rana temporaria (common frog)
Lineage: Eukaryota; Metazoa; Chordata; Amphibia; Anura; Ranidae
Product: small nucleolar RNA ACA64
Exons: 1
Source: RefSeq, a predicted model, not a curated record